AUUGGUCAAUAGCCUAACGGCUGAACCAGCAACUUGGAGGAAUAUAAAGCAAUAGCUGAUUGCAUUUAAAUGUAGUUACUACUUGGUAGUUUAAAGUUCUAGGUAGAAUUAUGAUGAUGACAUUAUCUAUCUAUUAGUCUUGACCAAAUUACGUGCCAGCAGUCGCGGCAAUACGUAGAAGACAAGUGUUAUUCAUCUUUAUUAGGUUUAAAGAGUACCAAGACGGUUAAUAAAGCCCAAAAUAAAUGAAUACGGGGGACACAUUAACUAGAGUUAUAUGAAAUGAAGCUAUAAGGUACUGUUGAGUGUAGAGAUGAAAUUUAAUGAUACCAGAUGAUUGGCACAGAUUAAUGCGAAGGCAUCUUCUUAUGUAAUAACUGACGUUGUAGGACGAAGGCUUUGGGUGUGAACAGGAUUAGGUACCCCAGUAAUCUUGGCAGAAAAUGAUGAAUGUCAUAGGUAUUAUUGGGUCUAUAAAUGAAAGUGUAAGCAUUCCACCUCAAGAGUAAUUUGGCAACAUUGGAACUGAAAUCAUUAGACCGUUUCUGAAACCAGUAGUGAAGUAUGUUGUUUAAUUAGAUGAUACACAAGAACCUUACCACAAUCUGAAUAUAUAUAAAUUAUAUUUACAAGCGCUGCACGGCUGUCUACAGUUAAUGUCGUGAGAUUUUGGUUAGCUCCAUAAAAUUGACGUAAACCCUAAUUUUAUUUAUAAAUAUAAUUAACAUCGCUAUAUAUGAUGUUUUAAGAGGGAACAUGACAAGUCAUCAUGG
Molecule: ribosomal RNA, 773 nt
Filed under: Sticta harrisii
Lineage: Eukaryota; Fungi; Ascomycota; Lecanoromycetes; Peltigerales; Lobariaceae
Description: SSU rRNA
Rfam family: Bacterial small subunit ribosomal RNA
Source: RNAcentral